Long non-coding RNA from Pseudophryne corroboree (corroboree frog), 676 nucleotides. RefSeq lists it as uncharacterized. NCBI's taxonomy places the organism in Eukaryota, Metazoa, Chordata, Amphibia, Anura, Myobatrachidae. The record is from RefSeq and is a predicted model, not a curated record. The transcript has 3 exons.
AUGGGGGUUACGGCUGCUACUCUUGGCUCCUUACUCCAUUGUCCCAACCUGAUUCUCCUGCUGAACACAGUUAUAAUCAUGCACAUAAGGCUACACGGAAUGUGAUAGAAAGAUGUUUUGGGGUGCUGAAGUCACGUUUUCGGUGUCUUGAUAAAUCUGGUGGCCUUUUGUUGUAUAGUCCCUCAAAGGUGACUAGGAUUGUGUUCUGCUGCUGUUUUCUCCAUAAUCUGUGUUUAAGCCAACAUCUUGCACAUGGUGAGGGAGAAAGCAGCCAGCAAGCAGAGGAGUUAGAACCAUCUGGUGACAGUGUGAGUACAAAUGUAGGGAGGCAGGUACGGCAAGAAGUGAUCCUGCGAUAUUUUACAGAUAACUGAGGUGAUCUGGGCUCAUCACUCUGCGAACUCGCCAAUAGUAACAGUGGUGGCUGGGAUGACACUGCCGAUAGCCUUCGCCUGGGUGGGGAUGAUGGAGGUGCAGAAUCAGACCCAAGACGCCGAGUCUUAGUUGGCCUCCUGGAAUAUGUGACUACAGUGAAGACUUACCUGCAAUACCGGCAUCAUCACGACUGGUCUGAGGCCUGUCUGGGCGGCUGGUCUGUGUGACUGUGAAAAAAGGAACACCAACAUUAUUACCUUUUUUUUUAUAAAAAGGACCCAGUGAAAACCAUUGAUGUACU